Molecule: ribosomal RNA, 794 nt
Filed under: uncultured bacterium
Lineage: Bacteria
Description: bacterial SSU rRNA
Rfam family: Bacterial small subunit ribosomal RNA
Source: RNAcentral
AGAGUUUGAUCAUGGCUCAGGACGAACGCUGGCGGCGUGCCUAACACAUGCAAGUCGACGAGAAAGAGGUAGCAAUAUCUCGAGUAAAGUGGCGAAGGGGUGAGUAAUAUGUAAGUAACCUGCCCAUGGAUUCGGAAUAACUCGUCGAAAGACGGGCUAAUACCGAAUAACGCAGCGGCACCACAUGGUGAUGUUGUUAAAGCUCUUGUAGCGUCUAUGGAUGGGCUUGCAUUCGAUUAGCUAGUUGGUAAGAUAAAAGCUUACCAAGGCAACGAUCGAUAGCUGGUCUGAGAGGAUGAUCAGCCACACUGGAACUGAGACACGGUCCAGACUCCUACGGGAGGCAGCAGUGAGGAAUAUUGGGCAAUGGACGAAAGUCUGACCCAGCAACGCCGCGUGGAGGAUGAAUGUCGUAAGAUUGUAAACUCCUUUUGAAGGGGACGAAAAAUUCCGAUCGCAUCGGAACUUGACUGUACCCUUAGAAGAAGCCCCGGCUAACUACGUGCCAGCAGCCGCGGUAAUACGUAGGGGGCGAGCGUUGUCCGGAUUUACUGGGUGUAAAGGGCGCGUAGGCGGGUUUGUAAGUCAGAGGUGAAAUCCUGCAGCUUAACUGUAGAACUGCCUUUGAUACUGCAAAUCUUGAAUUCGGAAGAGAGUAGCGGAAUUCCAGGUGUAGUAGUGAAAUACGUAGAUAUCUGGAAGAACACCAGUGGCGAAGGCGGCUACUUGGUCCGUAAUUGACGCUGAGGCGCGAAAGCGUGGGGAGCAAACAGGAUUAGAUACCCUAGUAGUCC